Molecule: transfer RNA, 96 nt
Filed under: Kwoniella mangroviensis CBS 8886
Lineage: Eukaryota; Fungi; Basidiomycota; Tremellomycetes; Tremellales; Cryptococcaceae
Also listed under: 1 other name
Description: tRNA-Ile
Rfam family: tRNA
About the family: Transfer RNA (tRNA) molecules are approximately 80 nucleotides in length. Their secondary structure includes four short double-helical elements and three loops (D, anti-codon, and T loops).
Source: RNAcentral
UCCCCUUUAGCUCAGUGGUUUUAGAGUUUCGUGCUUAUGAGGAUACCUUUAGGUUUUGAAUCACGAAUGUCGGCAGUUCAAUCCUGUCAAGGGGAA